RNAcentral lists this transfer RNA (59 nucleotides) under Acinetobacter baumannii. Its description in RNAcentral is "tRNA-Met". It matches the Rfam family "tRNA", at positions 8 to 63 of the family's 71-position model. Rfam says of the family: Transfer RNA (tRNA) molecules are approximately 80 nucleotides in length. Their secondary structure includes four short double-helical elements and three loops (D, anti-codon, and T loops). The record is from RNAcentral. Lineage: Bacteria; Pseudomonadati; Pseudomonadota; Gammaproteobacteria; Moraxellales; Moraxellaceae.
UAGCUCAGUUGGUUAGAGCACCGCACUCAUAAUGCGGGGGUCACAAGUUCAAGUCUCGU